RNAcentral lists this long non-coding RNA (1786 nucleotides) under Zea mays. Its description in RNAcentral is "long non-coding RNA (ZMAY_LNC004257)". Lineage: Eukaryota; Viridiplantae; Streptophyta; Magnoliopsida; Poales; Poaceae. The record is from RNAcentral.
CACUUGGUCCAUCGAGUACCGCUGUAUAGUCUAACAGCACCGUCGCGGGUUAUACCUGGACCAAUGGGAGGCUACCUGCUUAGUGCGUCGCCCGGACAAUGAUCUCCAGGGUGAAGAGGCCUACUCAGAGCAUUAUUCUAUCACUGAGCGGGACAUUGUCGACGCAGCCAUGCAAGAUGCUUCAUGGCGUGCACUUUUGCAGUAUUGUUCGUUGUUCAGCGGGGUAGCUAACGACCUCAACCUAAAGUACUACCCCCGUCGUUCGACCGGCAGUACCGGAGGUGUGAUUGUCUCACCAGUUGGUGAGGGAAUCGUAGAUUGAGUAGCAUGGUCAACCUGGUCGCCGUGCUCAACACCGAGCUGGACCACACCCUUGACGAAUUAAGCAAGGCUCGGGUGGAGAUUGCGGAACUGCAUGCUGAGCGCGCGGAGCGCCGCCAUCAGGAGGAUGGUUCCCCCGCUCCUGUCGGGACUCAGCACCCUUACCGCUCGCCGCCCUGUGGUCAUCAUGCUUAUGGCACCUAUUAGGGGCUUCCUCUUCCAAAGGUCCUUAAAAAUAUGACUAACCAUUUGCUUUUAGCAUAAUAUUGAUUAUUACAGGGAGCUUCAGUUCAUGAUGGAAGUUUUCUCCCCUGUCGAAGGUCUUCAAGACAAAGGUAUAGCCUGAGAAUGACAAUAAUGAACGGCGAAGUUAUGGUCAAAGAGUAAUAACUUCGGUUUAAAGCGGUGACAAAGAUCAAGCAUAAUGCUGAGCCGAAGAGGAAAAGACUAGCUAAUCCCUAGUGAUUUAGGCUACAGUUAUGAACAAGCAUUAAGGUCAUAAAUGUAUUUUUACCCGAGCUGCAUCCCGUGCCUAUAAAUAGGUGAACAGUACCACCGUACUAUUCUCGCUAGAUUGUAAUCGCUCUCGCAUCAUCACCUUCGAGCAAGCCAAAGGUAUCAAUGUAAUAGGAAUUUUAUUCAUAUGUUUAUCAUGAAAUAAAUAUUUGAAUUGAUACAUGAAUAGAUAACGUUUAUGAUAUAUUCCUGAAUUGUUAUUCUCUCGAAUGACGAAGAUAUGUCCUUCAAGACCUUCGUCUGAGAGCCAUUGUAUCCAAAAGGAGAUGGUGUUUCGGAGGACGAAGGUCUUUAAUCUCUAACAAUUGUGUUGUCUUGUUCUUGAUCCAUAGUAUUUAAGAAGUAAACAACAUUGGCACCCACCUCCGGUGCACUCGAACGACCACCUUCGGCAACAUCUCAAGCAUUCACCUCUAUGGUCCAAAAUCUAUUCACGAAGGGGUAUGUCCACUUUUAAUCACAGAUGCCCAUCAUGUGAUGGACGACACCCCCACCAUUUUCAACCUCCCGCCGCUUACCCACUCACCACGCUAGCCAGCCCAGGACGACCGAGGCCAUCUUGGUGCACUGCCCGGCCACAACCACCAUGCGAGCCCUAGCAUAUCCAUGGCCGCACGAACUGGGGACGGGAAAAGCGACAACAUAGCGGGAGAUACCCUUACCGAUGAUGAGGCCUUGACGACAUUAAUCCCGACGACGAACCGCAAGCACCGGCAUGCCCCAGCUCCACAACCCAUUAUCCUUCUUAUUUCCUCCUCUCUCUCUCUGUUACCCGCCACUUGCCUUGCUCGCGCAUGGUGACUAUUUGCCCAGCGGCUCCCGGUUUUAUAGAGGCAAGGGCGGGAUCCGCCAUGGUGGUCGGUUGAGGAGGACCCGUGCAUAUUUUUAGGAGGGUUGGUUCGUCGAGAUGGUGCUUGACAAUGGUGGACGACAGGGGCAAAGAGAGGUG